GGGGCUGUAGCUCAGUGGUAGAGCACUUGCCUCACAAGUGUGAGGCACUGGGUUCAAUCCUCAGCACCACUU
RNAcentral lists this transfer RNA (72 nucleotides) under Ictidomys tridecemlineatus (thirteen-lined ground squirrel). RNAcentral describes it as "Spermophilus tridecemlineatus (thirteen-lined ground squirrel) tRNA". It matches the Rfam family "tRNA". Rfam says of the family: Transfer RNA (tRNA) molecules are approximately 80 nucleotides in length. Their secondary structure includes four short double-helical elements and three loops (D, anti-codon, and T loops). Lineage: Eukaryota; Metazoa; Chordata; Mammalia; Rodentia; Sciuridae. The record is from Rfam by way of RNAcentral.